GCUCAGAUUGAACGCUGGCGGCAGGCCUAACACAUGCAAGUCGAGCGGAUGACGGGAGCUUGCUCCCUGAUUUAGCGGCGGACGGGUGAGUAAUGCCUAGGAAUCUGCCUGGUAGUGGGGGAUAACGUUCCGAAAGGAACGCUAAUACCGCGUACGUCCUACGGGAGAAAGCAGGGGACCUUCGGGCCUUGCGCUAUCAGAUGAGCCUAGGUCGGAUUAGCUAGUUGGUGAGGUAAUGGCUCACCAAGGCGACGAUCCGUAACUGGUCUGAGAGGAUGAUCAGUCACACUGGAACUGAGACACGGUCCAGACUCCUACGGGAGGCAGCAGUGGGGAAUAUUGGACAAUGGGCGAAAGCCUGAUCCAGCCAUGCCGCGUGUGUGAAGAAGGUCUUCGGAUUGUAAAGCACUUUAAGUUGGGAGGAAGGGCAUUAACCUAAUACGUUAGUGUUUUGACGUUACCAACAGAAUAAGCACCGGCUAACUUCGUGCCAGCAGCCGCGGUAAUACGAAGGGUGCAAGCGUUAAUCGGAAUUACUGGGCGUAAAGCGCGCGUAGGUGGUUCGUUAAGUUGGAUGUGAAAGCCCCGGGCUCAACCUGGGAACUGCAUCCAAAACUGGCGAGCUAGAGUACGGUAGAGGGUGGUGGAAUUUCCUGUGUAGCGGUGAAAUGCGUAGAUAUAGGAAGGAACACCAGUGGCGAAGGCGACCACCUGGACUGAUACUGAC
This 727-nucleotide ribosomal RNA is filed under the name Pseudomonas sp. Its description in RNAcentral is "bacterial SSU rRNA". It matches the Rfam family "Bacterial small subunit ribosomal RNA", at positions 22 to 744 of the family's 1533-position model. Lineage: Bacteria; Pseudomonadati; Pseudomonadota; Gammaproteobacteria; Pseudomonadales; Pseudomonadaceae. The record is from RNAcentral.